UGGAUGAAUUUGGAAAGCUGUUGAC
Molecule: non-coding RNA, 25 nt
Filed under: Rattus norvegicus (Norway rat)
Lineage: Eukaryota; Metazoa; Chordata; Mammalia; Rodentia; Muridae
Source: RNAcentral